CAUGGCUCAGAUUGAACGCUGGCGGCAGGCCUAACACAUGCAAGUCGAACGGUAACAGGAAGCAGCUUGCUGCUUCGCUGACGAGUGGCGGACGGGUGAGUAAUGUCUGGGAAACUGCCUGAUGGAGGGGGAUAACUACUGGAAACGGUGGCUAAUACCGCAUAACGUCGCAAGACCAAAGAGGGGGACCUUCGGGCCUCUUGCCAUCAGAUGUGCCCAGAUGGGAUUAGCUUGUUGGUGAGGUAACGGCUCACCAAGGCGACGAUCCCUAGCUGGUCUGAGAGGAUGACCAGCCACACUGGAACUGAGACACGGUCCAGACUCCUACGGGAGGCAGCAGUGGGGAAUAUUGCACAAUGGGCGCAAGCCUGAUGCAGCCAUGCCGCGUGUAUGAAGAAGGCCUUCGGGUUGUAAAGUACUU
This 421-nucleotide ribosomal RNA is filed under the name Salmonella enterica. RNAcentral describes it as "partial 16S ribosomal RNA". It matches the Rfam family "Bacterial small subunit ribosomal RNA", at positions 18 to 435 of the family's 1533-position model. Lineage: Bacteria; Pseudomonadati; Pseudomonadota; Gammaproteobacteria; Enterobacterales; Enterobacteriaceae. The record is from RNAcentral. RNAcentral also lists the same sequence under 1 other name.